Syngnathus typhle (broad-nosed pipefish) is the source of this 1576-nucleotide long non-coding RNA. RefSeq lists it as uncharacterized. The record is from RefSeq and is a predicted model, not a curated record. NCBI's taxonomy places the organism in Eukaryota, Metazoa, Chordata, Actinopteri, Syngnathiformes, Syngnathidae. The transcript has 2 exons.
UACUAUUAUGUGUUGAGAGAUUGAUCUUUGUUAGACAAGAUAUAUGUGAUUCAUGUUGCAAUGCUUUGUCCAACCUGUAUUUAACAUUGGUGUUCCAUCCAUACCUGAAUGUAUUAAGUUGAGAGGAGACAUUAAGGGCUAAUACAAAAAAACAACAACGAACGAGCAAAACAGGAAACAUCGGCAUCCGGUGAUUGCAGGUGUUUCCUGCUUGAAGCAAGGUUGCCAAGACAACCAGUGGUUUCCAGCUGGCCUGGCCAGGGAUCAGCUAAGGAACAUUCUCGAAGCUUCCAGAAACUUCCAGAAAGGCCACCUCACGUGCCGGUGAGGUAAUUACGAUAAGGUAAUGCCAGAAGCAAAUAUGUUGCCCGGACACAGAGCGGGCGCGCUUCUUCCUAGUCAGGGCGAUGGCCGUGACGCUGCCCGGAGUAAAAGAACGAAGAUGGAUUUUGCAUUAUUUUUGAGAUUGAACCAAAAUCUACUAAGAUGAAUUCCCAGAGUCUUCGAAUUGGACUUUGUCAAAUUUUAAGCUUCGAGGAAGGCAGAGGAGCAAGCCGCCACCGGGCAGAAAGGAGAAGUCGCCACUUUUACUUUUUUGGCUACGCUCCUCACGGCCAGACCUUUCCUCUUUUUUAAACAGAAUUCGGAUUUUGGAACAAAGGAGAGCCGAUCACUCGACCUGUUCAACCAAAUAGGAUUUUAGACCUUUAGUCUCCUCUCUUGUUCUGUGUGGAUGCUCAACCUUGGACGACACUACAGAUAUCUUCUAGGCCUAAUCUAACCUAUCCUGAGGGGUCUAUUGUAAUCUUGCAAGAUCAAAGAUUGAGCUGGACAGCCCUGCACUGUAGUUACACAUCACAAAAUCAUUCUGUUAAUUCCUGUCUCUUCCAGACUAGAUCUGACCUUGACUCGUACAUGCUGUGCCCAUGUUACAGGAUUAAUACACAUCACUCACACCCAUAUUCAUAGCUUUCUCCUUAAGAGAAAAACCAGAGCAAAUUUCACAGCCAGUCCAGUAAAAUAAAAUACAGCAAUCAUGUGUCAUAUGUUUAAAGUAGGGGUGUAACGAUUCAUGGAUACACAUCGAUUAAUCGAUAUAAUGCUCUACGAUUUAUUGGCAUCGAUGCUAAACGUAAACAUCGAUUUAUAUCGCCGUGUUUGACCUCGGACAUUAGACGCGACUUUAUUUUGAAAUCCAGUUCAUUGUUGCUUGCUUCCUCUUCCCGGGAGCAGUGCGCGGAGUUGUUGUGAGCAGAGCAGGCACGUGAAAGGGGAGUCGACAACUAGUACGCGGCUCCUGGGCUGGUGCUAUGGCUAGUGUCCAAAAAGACGAGGAAAUUUGCUCCCCUUUAGGCUUCAAGUCAUUCGUUUGGAAGCACUUGGGAUUCCAAAGAAAAGAUGGCUCAACGGACAAGACACGUGCAGUUUGUAAAUCCUGCCAUGCGGUGAUCAAAUAUUCAGGGAGCACAAAUCUCGCCGCACAUUUAAAGAAAAAACACAUCAAAGUUCAGUGUUAAAAUAAGCACUUUGUAUACUACAAUACUCUUGUAAUUUCCUAAAUAAAGAGUUUGCAGUA